ACGAACGCUGGCGGCGUGCCUAAUACAUGCAAGUCGAGCGGAAUGAUGAAGAAGCUUGCUUCUUCUGAUUUUAGCGGCGGACGGGUGAGUGACACGUGGGCAACCUACCUUGUAGAUUGGGAUAACUCCGGGAAACCGGGGGCUAAAUACCGAAUAAUCCAUUUUGCUUCAUGGCGAGAUGUUGAAAGACGGUUUCGGCUGUCACUACAAGAUGGGCCCGCGGCGCAUUAGCUAGUUGGUAGGGUAAUGGCCUACCAAGGCGACGAUGCGUAGCCGACCUGAGAGGGUGAUCGGCCACACUGGGACUGAGACACGGCCCAGACUCCUACGGGAGGCAGCAGUAGGGAAUCUUCCACAAUGGACGAAAGUCUGAUGGAGCAACGCCGCGUGAGUGAAGAAGGUUUUCGGAUCGUAAAACUCUGUUGUAAGGGAGGAACACGUACGAGAGUAACCUGCUCGUACCUUGACGGUACCUUAUUAGAAAGCCACGGCUAACUACGUG
This 502-nucleotide ribosomal RNA is filed under the name uncultured bacterium. Its description in RNAcentral is "bacterial SSU rRNA". It matches the Rfam family "Bacterial small subunit ribosomal RNA", at positions 29 to 507 of the family's 1533-position model. The record is from RNAcentral.